Molecule: ribosomal RNA, 542 nt
Filed under: uncultured Myxococcales bacterium
Lineage: Bacteria; Pseudomonadati; Myxococcota; Myxococcia; Myxococcales
Description: bacterial SSU rRNA
Rfam family: Bacterial small subunit ribosomal RNA
Source: RNAcentral
UGACGUAUGUAGAGUUUGAUCCUGGCUCAGAACGAACGUUAGCGGCGCGCCUAACACAUGCAAGUCGCGCGAGAAAGGGCUUCGGCCCCAGUAAAGCGGCGCACGGGUGAGUAACACGUAGGUCAUCUUCCCCUGAGUGGUGGAUAACUCUCCGAAAGGAGAGCUAAUACAGCAUAAGACCACGACCUCGCUGAGGUUGUGGCCAAAGCAGACCUCUUCACGAAAGUUUGCGCUUAGGGAUGAGCCUGCGGCCCAUCAGCUAGUUGGUAGGGUAAUGGCCUACCAAGGCUAAGACGGGUAGCUGGUCUGAGAGGAUGAACAGCCACACUGGAACUGAGACACGGUCCAGACUCCUACGGGAGGCAGCAGUGGGGAAUCUUGCGCAAUGGGCGAAAGCCUGACGCAGCGACGCCGCGUGAGCGAUGAAGGCCUUCGGGUUGUAAAGCUCUGUGGGGGAGGGAAGAAUAAGUCUUGGCUAAUAUCCAAGAUGAUGACGGUACCUCCUUAGCAAGCACCGGCUAACUCUGGUGCCAGCCGCCGCG